This is a small nuclear RNA of Choloepus hoffmanni (Hoffmann's two-fingered sloth), 109 nucleotides long. The record is from Ensembl. Lineage: Eukaryota; Metazoa; Chordata; Mammalia; Pilosa; Megalonychidae.
GUGCUUGCUUUGGCAGCACAUGUACUAAAAUUGGAAUGAUACAGAGAAUAUUAGCAUGGCCCCUGCACAAAUUCAUGAAGCGCUCCAUAUUAAAAAAAAAAAAAGCUCU